GCCUCGGUGGUGGAAUCGGUAGACACGCAGGACUUAAAAUCCUGUUCCCAUUGCGGGAGUGCGGGUUCAAGUCCCGCCCGGGGUA
This 85-nucleotide transfer RNA is filed under the name Bacteroidota bacterium. RNAcentral describes it as "Bacteroidetes bacterium (activated sludge metagenome) tRNA-Leu". It matches the Rfam family "tRNA". From Rfam's summary of the family: Transfer RNA (tRNA) molecules are approximately 80 nucleotides in length. Their secondary structure includes four short double-helical elements and three loops (D, anti-codon, and T loops). Further hydrogen bonds mediate the characteristic L-shaped molecular structure. tRNAs have two regions of fundamental functional importance: the anti-codon, which is responsible for specific mRNA codon recognition, and the 3' end, to which the tRNAs corresponding amino acid is attached (by aminoacyl-tRNA synthetases). tRNAs cope with the degeneracy of the genetic code in two manners: having more than one tRNA (with a specific anti-codon) for a particular amino acid; and 'wobble' base-pairing, i.e. permitting non-standard base-pairing at the 3rd anti-codon position. Lineage: Bacteria; Pseudomonadati; Bacteroidota. The record is from RNAcentral. RNAcentral also lists the same sequence under 1 other name.